AAACCAGCUGGCUUGCCAGUUGGGGUUGUAGGACUGCGAUAUAGUACUUGAAGUGAUAGCAGAAUUAUCUGGAAAGAUAAGCCAGAGAGGGUGAGAGCCCCGUACGCGAAAUUGCGGAGAGACUUAGCAGGAUCCUGAGUAGGUCGGGACACGAGGAAUCCCGAUUGAAACCGCGAGGACCAUCUCGCAAGGCUAAAUACUAACUAGUGACCGAUAGUGAACCAGUACCGUGAGGGAAAGGUGAAAAGAACCCCG
Molecule: ribosomal RNA, 255 nt
Filed under: Lactobacillus johnsonii
Lineage: Bacteria; Bacillati; Bacillota; Bacilli; Lactobacillales; Lactobacillaceae
Description: partial 23S ribosomal RNA
Rfam family: Bacterial large subunit ribosomal RNA
Source: RNAcentral